Long non-coding RNA from Zea mays, 265 nucleotides. RefSeq lists it as uncharacterized. The transcript is spliced from 2 exons. Lineage: Eukaryota; Viridiplantae; Streptophyta; Magnoliopsida; Poales; Poaceae. The record is from RefSeq and is a predicted model, not a curated record.
CUAGAGUUUCCAGUGUGAAGGAUAUGCAUUGAAUCAAUUUUCUAUGUUUUUCAGAAUGAUGGACAAGAAUGCAUAUGGUCUGCAAAUGGAGAAUUUGCUAUUGCUCAAUGAAGUGGCGGCAUGCUCCAAAAUCCUAGUGAGACCUCUGCACCUUUGGUCAGAUCCCAGGCCUAGGAUGUCCAUGUUGUGUGUAUGUACCAACAGCUAAAAUGUAAACACGACAUUAUCAUAGUUGAGUACAUGAAUAAUUAUCUAUUAUAUCUUA